CCUACGGGUGGCAGCAGUGGGGGAUAUUGCACAAUGGGCGAAAGCCUGAUGCAGCGACGCCGCGUGCGGGAAGACGGUCUUCGGAUUUUAAACCUCUGUCUGUGGGGAAGAAAAUGACGGUACCCAAAGAUGACUCUCCGUCUAACUACGUGCCAGCAGCCCCGGUAAUAGGUAGGGAGCAAGCGUUGUCCGGAAUUAUGGGGUGUAACGGGAGCGUAGGCGGGAUGGAAGGUAGAAGGUUAAAUCCAUCGGCUAAACCGGUGGCUGCGUCCUACAAUGUCGUGCUUGAGUGAAGUAGAGGCAGGCGGAAUGCAUAGUGUAGCGGUGAAAUGCGUAGAUAUUAGGAGGAACACCAGUGGCGAAGGCGGCCUGCUGGGCUUUAACUGACGCUGAGGCUCGAAAGCGUGGGGAGCAAACAGGAUUAGAUACCCCAGUAGUC
This 439-nucleotide ribosomal RNA is filed under the name uncultured bacterium. Its description in RNAcentral is "partial 16S ribosomal RNA". It matches the Rfam family "Bacterial small subunit ribosomal RNA", at positions 338 to 795 of the family's 1533-position model. The record is from RNAcentral.